RNAcentral lists this ribosomal RNA (253 nucleotides) under uncultured bacterium. RNAcentral describes it as "partial 16S ribosomal RNA". It matches the Rfam family "Bacterial small subunit ribosomal RNA", at positions 524 to 776 of the family's 1533-position model. The record is from RNAcentral.
UACGGAGGGUGCAAGCGUUGUCCGGAUUUAUUGGGUUUAAAGGGUGCGUAGGCGGCCCGUUAAGUCAGCGGUGAAAGUCUGUGGCUCAACCAUAGAAGCGCCGUUGAUACUGAUGGGCUUGAGUGCCUUAUGGGUACAUGGAAUUGAUGGUGUAGCGGUGAAAUGCAUAGAUACCAUCAGGAACACCGAUAGCGUAGGCAUUGUACUGUGCGGCAACUGACGCUGAGGCACGAAAGCGUGGGGAGCAAACAGG